GCCUCCUUGGCUCAGUUGGCUAGAGCGCAGGUCUCAUAGCAAUAUGACGUAAGCUUCUUACGUAAGCUUCUUACGCAAUCCUGAGGUCGCAAGUUCGAGCCUUGCAGGGGGCA
Molecule: non-coding RNA, 113 nt
Organism: Lyophyllum atratum
Lineage: Eukaryota; Fungi; Basidiomycota; Agaricomycetes; Agaricales; Lyophyllaceae
Source: the annotation of a GenBank genome assembly